RNAcentral lists this ribosomal RNA (253 nucleotides) under uncultured bacterium. Its description in RNAcentral is "partial 16S ribosomal RNA". It matches the Rfam family "Bacterial small subunit ribosomal RNA", at positions 524 to 776 of the family's 1533-position model. The record is from RNAcentral.
UACGUAGGGCGCAAGCGUUAUCCGGAAUUAUUGGGCGUAAAGAGCUCAUAGGUGGUUUGUCGCGUUGUUCGUGAAAACUCACAGCUCAACUGUGGGCGUGCGGGCGAUACGGGCAGACUAGAGUACUGCAGGGGAGACUGGAAUUCCUGGUGUAGCGGUGGAAUGCGCAGAUAUCAGGAGGAACACCGGUGGCGAAGGCGGGUCUCUGGGCAGUAACUGACGCUGAGGAGCGAAAGCGUGGGGAGCGAACAGG